GAGUUUCAGUUUGUUUCCUUUGGUAGCGGGAGACAGGUGCGGUGUCAGUGUCGUCCUGCAGUUUGUAGUAGAGGAAACCUCUGUCUCGAGAGUGUUACUCAUAGAUGCGUAAACACUGAUCUUUCCAAUGUCACGAGGUUUUAAAUAUUAAGUGUUAGCUUGAAGUACUAUAGUGGUGUUCACUAUUGCCGCAUAGUACUAGACUUAUCUUGGCUAAUCAAAAGUGUAGCUUCGUGUGGUUUAGUACUAAUAUUCCCCACAUCAUAAAAAUCCCACAAGGAAUUCAUUUAGGUGCAGAAAUAUGUCUAGAUUUUGGAUGUGUCUGCCCCUUUUCCUGGCAAUGUCUUCAUCGUGGGCUCUGGAGUGCAUUAGGUGCAAGAAUUGUGGAGUGGAUGAAAUCGAAUAUAAACAAUGCCAUCCUAUGAAGGGCCGAUGUAUAGCGAUAGAAUUCAUGGGGAGGAUAAGGAAGACCUGUGCCCCAAGCAUUGUUUGUCACAUGAAGAAUCAAGCCGGGAAAGUAGGCUCUUUCAUUGGGGAAUAUUUGGCAGACGUCUUCGACAAGGCCGAAAUGGUGUCGACUGUAACUGGUAUUGUUGAUAGGAACAUCUACUGCUGUAAGGGUGACCUCUGCAACCUGGAGACGCCUUUCGACAGUUACUACUACGAUUAUCUUUCUGACGAUAGCUCUGGGAAGUUGGGGGCUAACUUUGCGCUCGUCCUGCCGCUACUGUUCCUUCUGUACGUCCUAGGCAAGUUCCUAGUCCUAUGAGGAGAGAAAGAGUUUCCUGGACAUUUCCUCCUGAAGCUUCAAAGUUGUGGUCACUGAUCUUGCCGUGAGUCUAUAGGCCAAGGUUGCUCUCCUUGAUAUCAAGUUAACGUUGAAAUUACUCUUGCCAUGGACUUAAAUGGGCCACUUGUAAACUUCUUACAGAACUGCUUUUUAAGUGUGUGUAUUCAUUAGAAAUUCGAGCAAUUAAGGCUAGGCCAGUGUAAUACACGUGUGCAAUUUUUUAUGUAUUAAUUUAUCGGAAACUAGAGGAAAUAUGAGGAGGCCAGUUUAGUACAUAACUUCAUGUCUGGAAAGUAUCGUGGUAUUGUUCCGUUGUAAAGCUCGAAUGCCAUAAUUAUUUUACUGGUUUUAAGAUUGUAUAUUGAGUUUUAUGUUUUAAGAACUUUGAAUCGCUGUACAUGUUAAUGUGCUAUAUUAGCAUCUGAAAAGAAUAAAUUAAAAUAUAUUUGCUAUUUGUGCUUAUAUAUAAGCUGGCGGGAGAGUUUUAUAAGAUGUAAAUAUUGUUAAAUUCUACCAUCAGAUUUUAGUCUAAUUUUAUAGUAAGAUGUGAAGAUAGGUGUCUAUACAUGGCAAUAAUUUCCAUGAACUGAUGGAAACUGCUGUUAUAAAUGUUUGUUUCCUUAUAAUACACAGUUGUAAACACACUGACCUCAUAUUAAAGGCUAGCAUAGUUAAAA
This is a long non-coding RNA of Macrobrachium nipponense, 1467 nucleotides long. RefSeq lists it as uncharacterized. NCBI's taxonomy places the organism in Eukaryota, Metazoa, Arthropoda, Malacostraca, Decapoda, Palaemonidae. The record is from RefSeq and is a predicted model, not a curated record. The transcript has 3 exons.